Long non-coding RNA from Mytilus trossulus (common blue mussel), 528 nucleotides. RefSeq lists it as uncharacterized. Lineage: Eukaryota; Metazoa; Mollusca; Bivalvia; Mytilida; Mytilidae. The transcript has 4 exons. The record is from RefSeq and is a predicted model, not a curated record.
UUAGUUGUGAAAGUUUGCCUUUUAUUUACCUGCAGUACUUUGUUUAUCGUAGUACCUCUAUUUGGAUCUGUAGAUGAACAAGGCCGUUGUACAAGAGUUUCCACGGUUUUCCUGCUGAUGAUAGGUGUCGUAAUUGGAGUACUUAUUAUUCCAUUAUUGAUCUCGAAAGGAAAAUAUAGAACAAAACGAUUGACAUUAACUCCACUGCGACAGGAUGAAGAAAUUCAGAGCAAUGUAUAAAAAGGAAUAACAGAAAAAAAAUCACAGAUUGCAGUAACAUACACCAACAACUCUCCACUUCACCGGGGAAAGAUUUCUUAAAUACAAACAACAACAACGCAUUGUAUAUUGAUGUAUCGUUAUAUGAAAGACCUAAGUAGAGUUACUGAAUAAAUGCUUAUCGAAUGAUAUUAAUAAAUUGCAAAACGAGCGAGUUUAUUGAUUUUGAUUAUUUCAGAUCCGUUCACGUAACAUAUAGGCAUGUAGAUGUAUUUGUGAAAAAUGAAAAUACCUAUUUUGUACUUGUGU